RNAcentral lists this small RNA (90 nucleotides) under Escherichia coli. Its description in RNAcentral is "partial RtT sRNA". It matches the Rfam family "RtT RNA", at positions 43 to 130 of the family's 130-position model. Rfam says of the family: This family represents a bacterial cis-regulatory element known as RtT RNA. The record is from RNAcentral. Lineage: Bacteria; Pseudomonadati; Pseudomonadota; Gammaproteobacteria; Enterobacterales; Enterobacteriaceae. RNAcentral also lists the same sequence under 2 other names.
UCGACUUGAGCGCCAGCGAGAGAGCGUUGCCGCAGGCAACGACCCGAAGGGCGAAGCGCGCAGCGCUGAGUAAUCCUUCCCCCACCACCA